Molecule: non-coding RNA, 72 nt
Organism: Stegodyphus dumicola
Lineage: Eukaryota; Metazoa; Arthropoda; Arachnida; Araneae; Eresidae
Source: the annotation of a RefSeq genome assembly
GCCUUUGUGGUGUAAUGGUUAGCACACUCAACACAUAUUCGAAAGGCCCAGGUUCAAAUCCUGGCUAGGGCA